GUAGGUGGCAAGCGUUGUCCGGAAUUAUUGGGCGUAAAGCGCGCGCAGGGCGGUCCUUUAAGUCUGAUGUGAAAGCCCACGGCUCAACCGUGGAGGGUCAUUGGAAACUGGGGGACUUGAGUACAGAAGAGGAAAGCGGAAUUCCAAGUGUAGCGGUGAAAUGCGUAGAGAUUUGGAGGAACACCAGUGGCGAAGGCGGCUUUCUGGUCUGUAACUGACGCUGAGGCGCGAAAGCGUGGGGAGCAAACAGGAUUAGAUACCCCGGUAGUCCACGCCGUAAACGAUGAGUGCUAAGUGUUAGGGGGUUUCCGCCCCUUAGUGCUGCAGCUAACGCAUUAAGCACUCCGCCUGGGGAGUACGGCCGCAAAGGCUG
RNAcentral lists this ribosomal RNA (373 nucleotides) under uncultured organism. RNAcentral's name for it is "partial 16S ribosomal RNA". It matches the Rfam family "Bacterial small subunit ribosomal RNA", at positions 527 to 896 of the family's 1533-position model. The record is from RNAcentral.